GGUUAAGUAAUAUCUCUACCUAAGACUCAGGCGGCUUAACGGCCUUAAUCUACCUGCCGAGGACAUUGUUUUUUCUCUAUGUCUUGGUGGACAUAGGGAUUUUUUUAUAAAUCC
The sequence is a regulatory RNA element, 114 nucleotides long. It matches the Rfam family "Ribosomal protein L10 leader". From Rfam's summary of the family: This family is a putative r-protein leader autoregulatory structure found in B. subtilis and other low-GC Gram-positive bacteria. It is located in the 5' untranslated regions of mRNAs encoding ribosomal proteins L10 and L12 (rplJ-rplL). The record is from Rfam.